RNAcentral lists this ribosomal RNA (755 nucleotides) under uncultured Paludibacter sp. Its description in RNAcentral is "bacterial SSU rRNA". It matches the Rfam family "Bacterial small subunit ribosomal RNA", at positions 28 to 776 of the family's 1533-position model. Lineage: Bacteria; Pseudomonadati; Bacteroidota; Bacteroidia; Bacteroidales; Paludibacteraceae. The record is from RNAcentral.
GAUGAACGCUAGCGAUAGGCCUAACACAUGCAAGUCGAGGGGCAGCACGAAUUAGCAAUAGUUUGGUGGCGACCGGCGCACGGGUGCGUAACACGUAUAUAACCUACCUUCAAUUGGGGGAUAACCUGGAGAAAUUCGGACUAAUACCCCAUAGUAAACAGAAGAGGCAUCUUUUUUGUUUUAAAGAUUUAUUGAUUGGAGAUGGGUAUGCGUAGGAUUAGCUAGUUGGUAAGGUAACGGCUUACCAAGGCGACGAUCCUUAGGGGUUCUGAGAGGAAGGUCCCCCACACUGGUACUGAGACACGGACCAGACUCCUACGGGAGGCAGCAGUGAGGAAUAUUGGUCAAUGGUCGAGAGACUGAACCAGCCAGGUCGCGUGAAGGAAGACGGCUCUAUGAGUUGUAAACUUCUUUUGUACAGGAGUAAAGUGAGACACGUGUGUUUUAUUGCAAGUACUGUACGAAUAAGCAUCGGCUAACUCCGUGCCAGCAGCCGCGGUAAUACGGAGGAUGCAAGCGUUAUCCGGAUUUAUUGGGUUUAAAGGGUGCGUAGGCGGUAUUACAAGUCAGGGGUGAAAUCUUGGUGCUUAACAUUAAAAUUGCCUUUGAAACUGUGGUACUUGAGUGUAAAAGAGGUAGGCGGAAUGUGUUGUGUAGCGGUGAAAUGCAUAGAUAUAACACAGAACACCGAUUGCGAAGGCAGCUUACUAUCAUACAACUGACGCUGAUGCACGAAAGCGUGGGGAUCAAACAGG